Molecule: ribosomal RNA, 550 nt
Filed under: uncultured bacterium
Lineage: Bacteria
Description: bacterial SSU rRNA
Rfam family: Bacterial small subunit ribosomal RNA
Source: RNAcentral
UAGGGAAUCUUCGGCAAUGGGGGCAACCCUGACCGAGCAACGCCGCGUGAGUGAAGAAGGUUUUCGGAUCGUAAAGCUCUGUUGUAAGAGAAGAACGAGUGUGAGAGUGGAAAGUUCACACUGUGACGGUAACUUACCAGAAAGGGACGGCUAACUACGUGCCAGCAGCCGCGGUAAUACGUAGGUCCCGAGCGUUAUCCGGAUUUAUUGGGCGUAAAGCGAGCGCAGGCGGUUAGAUAAGUCUGAAGUUAAAGGCUGUGGCUUAACCAUAGUACGCUUUGGAAACUGUUUAACUUGAGUGCAGAAGGGGAGAGUGGAAUUCCAUGUGUAGCGGUGAAAUGCGUAGAUAUAUGGAGGAACACCGGUGGCGAAAGCGGCUCUCUGGCUUGUAACUGACGCUGAGGCUCGAAAGCGUGGGGAGCAAACAGGAUUAGAUACCCUGGUAGUCCACGCCGUAAACGAUGAGUGCUAGGUGUUAGACCCUUUCCGGGGUUUAGUGCCGCAGCUAACGCAUUAAGCACUCCGCCUGGGGAGUACGACCGCAAGGUUG